This 320-nucleotide ribosomal RNA is filed under the name uncultured eukaryote. RNAcentral describes it as "partial 18S ribosomal RNA". It matches the Rfam family "Eukaryotic small subunit ribosomal RNA", at positions 1470 to 1796 of the family's 1831-position model. The record is from RNAcentral.
CCCCUAGAUGUUCUGGGCCGCACGCGCGCUACACUGAACAGUUCAACAAGUCUUAACCUUGGCCGAUAGGUCUGGGUAAUCUUUGAACGCUGUUCGUGAUUGGGAUAGACCUUUGCAAUUAUGGGUCUUCAACGAGGAAUUCCUAGUAAACGCAAGUCAUCAGCUUGCAUUGAUUACGUCCCUGCCCUCUGUACACACCGCCCGUCGCACCUACCGAUUGAAUGGUCCGGUGAAAUCUCGGGACGGCGGCUCGGUCGCUUGCGUCCGACUGCUGAAACUUGAUUAAACCAUAUCAUUUAGAGGAAGGUGAAGUCGUAACA